RNAcentral lists this ribosomal RNA (545 nucleotides) under uncultured bacterium. Its description in RNAcentral is "bacterial SSU rRNA". It matches the Rfam family "Bacterial small subunit ribosomal RNA", at positions 777 to 1320 of the family's 1533-position model. The record is from RNAcentral.
AAUAGAUACCCAGGUAGUCCAUGCCGUAAACGUUGGGAACUAGAUGUAGGGCCUGUUCCACGGGUUCUGUGUCGUAGCUAACGCAUUAAGUUCCCCGCCUGGGGAGUACGGCCGCAAGGCUAAAACUCAAAGGAAUUGACGGGGGCCCGCACAAGCGGCGGAGCAUGCGGAUUAAUUCGAUGCAACGCGAAGAACCUUACCAAGGCUUGACAUAUAGAAGAACGGGUCAGAAAUGAUCAACUCUUUGGACACUUCUAUACAGGUGGUGCAUGGUUGUCGUCAGCUCGUGUCGUGAGAUGUUCGGUUAAGUCCGGCAACGAGCGCAACCCUCGUCCUAUGUUGCCAGCGGUUCGGCCGGGAACUCAUGGGAUACUGCCGUGGUCAACACGGAGGAAGGUGGGGAUGACGUCAAAUCAUCAUGCCCCUUAUGUCUUGGGCUUCACGCAUGCUACAAUGGCCGGUACAAAGGGUUGCGAUACCGUAAGGUGGAGCGAAUCCCAAAAACGCCGGUCUCAGUUCGGAUUGGGGUCUGCAACUCGACCCCG